GGGAGUAUUGCUCAGUGGUAGAGGGCAUGCUUGGCAUGUGCAAGGUCCUGGGUUCAAUCCCCAGUACUUCCA
Molecule: transfer RNA, 72 nt
Filed under: Camelus bactrianus (Bactrian camel)
Lineage: Eukaryota; Metazoa; Chordata; Mammalia; Artiodactyla; Camelidae
Also listed under: 3 other names
Rfam family: tRNA
About the family: Transfer RNA (tRNA) molecules are approximately 80 nucleotides in length. Their secondary structure includes four short double-helical elements and three loops (D, anti-codon, and T loops).
Source: Rfam by way of RNAcentral